Molecule: ribosomal RNA, 440 nt
Filed under: uncultured bacterium
Lineage: Bacteria
Description: partial 16S ribosomal RNA
Rfam family: Bacterial small subunit ribosomal RNA
Source: RNAcentral
CUACGGGGGGCUCCAGUGAGGAAUAUUGCACAAUGGGGGGAACCCUGAUGCAGCAACGCCGCGUGGAGGAUGACGCAUUUCGGUGUGUAAACUCCUUUUAUAUGUCAAGAAAAUGACGGUAGCAUAUGAAUAAGCACCGGCUAACUCCGUGCCAGCAGGCCGCGGUAAUACGGAGGGUGCAAGCGUUACUCGGAAUCACUGGGCGUAAAGGACGCGUAGGCGGGUUGGAAAGUCAGGUGUGAAAUACUACAGCUUAACUGUAGAACUGCACUUGAAACUUCUAAUCUAGAGUAUGGGAGGGGGAGAUGGAAUUAGUGGUGUAGGGGUAAGAUCCGUAGAUAUCACUAGGAAUACCUAAAGCGAAGGCGAUCUCCUGGAACAUUACUGACGCUAAGGCGUGAAAGCGUGGGGAGCAAACAGGAUUAGAGACCCCUGUAGUC